Long non-coding RNA from Bacillus rossius redtenbacheri, 609 nucleotides. RefSeq lists it as uncharacterized. Lineage: Eukaryota; Metazoa; Arthropoda; Insecta; Phasmatodea; Bacillidae. The record is from RefSeq and is a predicted model, not a curated record. The transcript has 4 exons.
GUAUCCAGUAGCUGGGAACAGCACGCGACCAUCGAUCGUGUGGCCAAACAGGUGUUACGGGUAUUUCCAUCCCUGUACAUGUUUAUGUGAGAACGCCUGCAACUGCUGUGACAUAGUCCGCACGUCUGGUGUGGGACGCAUUUUUUUCCCCCUACGAUUCAGCUUUCCCGUUCAAGAAGAUGCGAGAGAGGUUCCCGGAACACUACUCCGUGGGACCCACCUUGUCGAACGAGAAGACGGUCCACUCCUCCGAGUGGUCCCAGUCCACCAGGGGGGCGAUCAUUGGGGUCCCCCGGGACACGGGUCAUGAGCCCGAUGACUGUGCAAGUCUCCGGCAGGGACCGGCUGAGAAUGCUCUCGGAGAAGCCGGGCGCCGGCACCUGGACGACCACCGAGUCGCCUGGGAUGCGCUCCGCGGCUUCCCGGACCAGCAGCGGGGAGGCCAGGCCGCUGGCGAGGCGAGCGGCCGGCGAGUCCCGUCUGGCCGCCGGGACGGAGGAGUUGGGGUCGGGGUGAGGCAACACCUGCGCGUCACAUCACUCAUGUCUGCACACAUCUCAUGUGCAGCCCGAGACAAGCCCAGACGCAUCACCAGUGCACUGUUUAAAA